GUAGUACUGGGACUAUCAAAGUAGACAUUAGGCAGCAGGAUCCAUUAAUAGAGUCACCGCAGUGAGUGAACUUAAGAAGGCUUUGUCCCCACUACUCAGUGGAUCCAUAAUGGCUUUAUGGACUCCCCGCCUCUGCCAUCAUGAAUAAAUAAUCUACAGGUCUACGUGUCCAUUGGCUGCGUGUGCCUGUCAUCCAGCUCUGAGUUUACUCUGACAAGCCGCAUGAGUCCAAGCUGCUUUAUGGGGACUAAAAGAGGAAGCUGCUGAGUGAGCCCUCAUCUGGGACUCUCCUCAGCUCUUUCUGGGACAGUGGCGCGGCUGCCCCUCUGUUGGUCUUCCUUGGUCUCUUGUGUUCUGGGGGCCUCUGGAUGUCUGGAGUUUUGAUCAGCUCCAUACCUGCUUCAUGCCCUGGAGGACGGGGCUGUGGCCCCCCCACACCCUCUAGCAGAUCAUUACAUGAAGGAACCUUUUAAAAAACAAAAAACAAGCGCGUCCAUGCUCACAGGUGUACACACGGUUGAUCACACCCACAAACUACACCCUUUUUGGCUCCUACCUCAAAGCACACUGUGUUCUGUUGAUCUUAUGUGCUGCACAAUAAUGUUUAAUAUUUAGUAUUUACUAUCAUAUUCCCAUAUAUCAUUGUGAUGUUGUUUAUUCUAUUACUCUUGUUCUCUUCUGCUUGUUUUCUUUUUUCUUUCUCAGCAGGUGACCCAGGUGAUUGAUAUAUGCAUUUUUUUUCUUUUUUUCUUCUUUUUUUUCUUUUUCUGCUCAUUCUGUUGGUUUUUGGUUUUUGCCCUUCUCCCCCGUCCCUCUUCUCAGCUGUUUCUCUUUCCCUCUUUCUUUCUCCCCUUCUUUCCCCCAGUCAAGUCUGUCCCAUGUUCAGUAAGUGAAAAUAAAAUAAACAAUAAAAGGUGAAUCAAAUGGACCAUUACGGCAAGGCUGGGAUGGUCAAUUUGGUAAAGUAAAUCCGUUGGGCAUCUUUCUUUGCCUUUAGACAAGAAUUCUGAUGGCAAAAGAGCCAAACGGGACAGGCAAAAAAAUAAAAAAAAUAAAAAAAAAUAAAUAAAAAUAAAAAAAAUAAAUUUGGACUUAAUAUGUAAAUCGUUUUGACUUCAAUUUGUUAUGUUUUCACUUGGGGUCUUAAUUGUGUGAUUUAUUUUUAUGUUUUAUAUAUUUUCUUUAAAGAAAUAUGAUGAAUUUUAAUCUUAAUUCCUUGCUUUUU
Astatotilapia calliptera (eastern happy) is the source of this 1225-nucleotide long non-coding RNA. Lineage: Eukaryota; Metazoa; Chordata; Actinopteri; Cichliformes; Cichlidae. The record is from Ensembl.